RNAcentral lists this transfer RNA (70 nucleotides) under Mileewa sharpa. Its description in RNAcentral is "tRNA-Lys". The record is from RNAcentral. Lineage: Eukaryota; Metazoa; Arthropoda; Insecta; Hemiptera; Cicadellidae.
CAUUAAGUUGCUUAAAGUAAGCAUUGAUCUCUUAAAUCAAAUUAUAAUAAUUAACGAUUAUUCUUAAUGA